CCUACGGGGCGCAGCAGUGAGGAAUGUUGGUCAAUGGACGAGAGUCUGAACCAGCCAAGUAGCGUGAAGGAUGACUGCUCUAUGGGUUGUAAACUUCUUUUAUAUGGGAAUAAAAUGUUCCACGUGUGGGAUUUUGUAUGUACCAUAUGAAUAAGGCUCGGCUAACUCCGUGCCAGCAGCCGCGGUAAUACGGAGGAUCCGAGCGUUAUCCGGAUUUAUUGGGUUUAAAGGGAGCGUAGGUGGAUUGUUAAGUCAGUUGUGAAAGUUUGCGGCUCAACCGUAAAAUUGCAGUUGAAACUGGCAGUCUUGAGUACAGUAGAGGUGGGCGGAAUUCGUGGUGUAGCGGUGAAAUGCUUAGAUAUCACGAAGAACUCCGAUUGCGAAGGCAGUUCACUGGACUGCAACUGACACUGAGGCUCGAAAGUGUGGGUAUCAAACAGGAUUAGAUACCCUUGUAGUC
RNAcentral lists this ribosomal RNA (460 nucleotides) under uncultured bacterium. RNAcentral describes it as "partial 16S ribosomal RNA". It matches the Rfam family "Bacterial small subunit ribosomal RNA", at positions 338 to 795 of the family's 1533-position model. The record is from RNAcentral.